Myotis lucifugus (little brown bat) is the source of this 126-nucleotide non-coding RNA. The record is from Rfam. Lineage: Eukaryota; Metazoa; Chordata; Mammalia; Chiroptera; Vespertilionidae.
CAUGCACCAGUGGGGUCCUUCAGCCUGGCCUGUGCCCUCUCACAAUUGGGGACCCCUUGGGGGAUGUCGGAGAGCCAGUUUCGGCCUGAUCCCACAGGCCAGGCUGAGGGACCCCACUGGUGCACG